UCCUCCGUGGCGCAAUUGGCUAGCGCGUUCGACUGUUAUUCUACAUUCCAUAGGUACAUCGAGAGGUUGACAGUUCAAGCCUGUCCGGGGGAG
Molecule: non-coding RNA, 93 nt
Organism: Xylariaceae sp. FL0594
Lineage: Eukaryota; Fungi; Ascomycota; Sordariomycetes; Xylariales; Xylariaceae
Source: the annotation of a GenBank genome assembly